GCCGCUGUAGCUCAGUUGGUAGAGCGGCGCAUUCGUAAUGCGCAGGUCGCGAGUUCGAGUCUCGCCGGCGGCU
RNAcentral lists this transfer RNA (73 nucleotides) under Planctomycetaceae bacterium. Its description in RNAcentral is "tRNA-Thr". It matches the Rfam family "tRNA". Rfam says of the family: Transfer RNA (tRNA) molecules are approximately 80 nucleotides in length. Lineage: Bacteria; Pseudomonadati; Planctomycetota; Planctomycetia; Planctomycetales; Planctomycetaceae. The record is from RNAcentral.